RNAcentral lists this ribosomal RNA (478 nucleotides) under uncultured bacterium. Its description in RNAcentral is "bacterial SSU rRNA". It matches the Rfam family "Bacterial small subunit ribosomal RNA", at positions 27 to 518 of the family's 1533-position model. The record is from RNAcentral.
GGAUAAACGCUGGCGGCGCGCAUAACACAUGCAAGUCGAGCGAGAGGAGUAGCUCGGUUACGAAUCUAGCGGCGGACGGGUGAGUAACACGUAGACAACCUGCCUUGUAGAGGGGGAUAGCCGGAAGAAGUUCCGGAUAAUACCGCAUAAUACAUAUUAAUCGCAUGAUUGAUAUGGGAAAGGUGAAUAACCGCUAUAAGAGGGGUCUGCGACUGAUUAGCUAGUUGGAGUGGUAACGGCACACCAGGGCCACGAUCAGUAGCCGGUUUGAGAGAAUGAACGGCCACAUUGGGACUGAGAUACGGCCCAGACUCCUACGGGAGGCAGCAGUGGGGAAUAUUGCGCAAUGGGGGAAACCCUGACGCCAGCGACGCCGUGUAAAGGAUGAAGGUCUUCGGAUCGUAAACUUAUAUCGAUUGUGAAAAGUAAGGAUGGUAGCAAAGUAAGAAGCCCCGGCUAACUACGUGCCAGCAGCAGC